CAGCAGCCGCGGGAAUACGAGGGGUGCAAGCGUUAUUCGGAUUGAUUGGGUGUAAAGGGUGUGCAGACGGCUCAUUAAGCCACUUGUUAAAUUCUUCGGCCUAACUGAAGGUCUGCAAGUGAUACUGAUGAGCUAGAGGGUGGAAGAGAGAAGUGGAAUUCUCGGAGUAGCGGUAAAAUGCGUAGAUCUCGAGAGGAACACCAAUGGCGAAGGCACUCUGCUGGGCCGACACUGGCACUGAGAGACGAAAGCUAGGGGAGCAAAUGGGAUUAGAUACCCCCGUAGUCCCUGUCUCUUAUAC
RNAcentral lists this ribosomal RNA (301 nucleotides) under uncultured bacterium. RNAcentral describes it as "partial 16S ribosomal RNA". It matches the Rfam family "Bacterial small subunit ribosomal RNA", at positions 509 to 807 of the family's 1533-position model. The record is from RNAcentral.